Molecule: ribosomal RNA, 496 nt
Filed under: Neurospora stellata
Lineage: Eukaryota; Fungi; Ascomycota; Sordariomycetes; Sordariales; Sordariaceae
Description: eukaryotic LSU rRNA
Rfam family: Eukaryotic large subunit ribosomal RNA
Source: RNAcentral
UGAAGCGGCAACAGCUCAAAUUUGAAAUCUUGCCUUCGGGCCGAGUUGUAAUUUGUAGAGGAAGCUUUUGGUGAGGCACCUUCUGAGUCCCCUGGAACGGGGCGCCAUAGAGGGUGAGAGCCCCGUAUAGUCGGAUGCCGAUCCAAUGUAAAGCUCCUUCGACGAGUCGAGUAGUUUGGGAAUGCUGCUCAAAAUGGGAGGUAAAUUUCUUCUAAAGCUAAAUACCGGCCAGAGACCGAUAGCGCACAAGUAGAGUGAUCGAAAGAUGAAAAGCACCUUGAAAAGGGGGUUAAAUAGCACGUGAAAUUGUUGAAAGGGAAGCGUUUGCGGCCAGACUUGCGCCGCCCCGAUCAUCCGGUGUUCUCACCGGUGCACUCGGGGCGGCGCAGGCCAGCAUCGGUUUCGGCGGGGGGAUAAAGGCCCGGGGAACGUAGCUCCUUCGGGAGUGUUAUAGCCCCGGGCGUAAUGCCCUCGCCGGGACCGAGGUUCGCGCAUC